RNAcentral lists this ribosomal RNA (464 nucleotides) under Vreelandella stevensii. RNAcentral describes it as "partial 16S ribosomal RNA". It matches the Rfam family "Bacterial small subunit ribosomal RNA", at positions 339 to 795 of the family's 1533-position model. Lineage: Bacteria; Pseudomonadati; Pseudomonadota; Gammaproteobacteria; Oceanospirillales; Halomonadaceae. The record is from RNAcentral.
CUACGGGCGGCUGCAGUGGGGAAUAUUGGACAAUGGGGGGAACCCUGAUCCAGCCAUGCCGCGUGUGUGAAGAAGGCCCUCGGGUUGUAAAGCACUUUCAGUGAGGAAGAACGCCUGGUGGUUAAUACCCAUCAGGAAAGACAUCACUCACAGAAGAAGCACCGGCUAACUCCGUGCCAGCAGCCGCGGUAAUACGGAGGGUGCGAGCGUUAAUCGGAAUUACUGGGCGUAAAGCGCGCGUAGGUGGCUUGAUAAGCCGGUUGUGAAAGCCCCGGGCUCAACCUGGGAACGGCAUCCGGAACUGUCAAGCUAGAGUGCAGGAGAGGAAGGUAGAAUUCCCGGUGUAGCGGUGAAAUGCGUAGAGAUCGGGAGGAAUACCAGUGGCGAAGGCGGCCUUCUGGACUGACACUGACACUGAGGUGCGAAAGCGUGGGUAGCAAACAGGAUUAGAUACCCGGGUAGUC